This 612-nucleotide long non-coding RNA is filed under the name Ficedula albicollis (Collared flycatcher). RNAcentral describes it as "lncRNA (ENSFALG00000026345.1)". The record is from RNAcentral. Lineage: Eukaryota; Metazoa; Chordata; Aves; Passeriformes; Muscicapidae.
CCCCCCUUUUUUUCCCCCAAUUUCUCCCCAUUUUUCCCACUUUUUCCCCUUUUCCCACUGGGAAUUCCCUGUGUAAAACCAGCCCAGCUUCCUCCACCCCCAGAUCUUUGCUCUGCACCUGCAGGACCCUCCACACCUCAGGAGUUUGCCAAAAAACUGAAAAGUUUUCUUCAUUUCUUUAUUAUUAAAGAGAUGCCAGAGCUGAAUCUUUAAAAAAAAAUAUUCUGAAUAUCUUUAAUAUCUGGAUAUUGGCAUGCCCAGAUACUGAUACCACACUUAUUUAUAUAAUUUUAAUAUUAUAUUUAAUCUGUUCUGGACAUUCCAGGGUGGUCAGAGAGAAUUAAUCUUGGUUUUCCCCUUCACCCACCCUCUCUCCACAUGGGAAUAUUCCCCUUUUCCCAGUUUUUCUCAGGACCACUUCACACCAGGAUUUUUUUUAAUGCCCAAACAGCUUGGAUGGGUUUUUUCCUGCUGUAAUCCCAUUUUUGGGAACUUUUGGUGGUUUAACCUGGAUUCCCUGCAGUGCCUGUGAUUCCCAAAAUCCAGGGAAGUUUCCUGGAGUUGUGCAACCCUUGGAAGAGUCCCAAAAUCCAGAGAAGAUUUUCCUGGAGU